GAAAAAAACGACGUGAUGGGGAAACGCUCAGCUCGCUACAAUAUUUUUAACAGCCUCUCAGUCCUCGCCUUUUUUUAAUUUCCUAAUAUGUUCUUUGCUUUAUUAGUUUUAUUUACAACCAGCUCCCCAUUAACACCUCACCUGAUUACUGAGGAGCUGAGACAGCUAAUCAAGAAAAUCCAGCAAACCAGCCAAAAUCGAGAGGGAUCCUCUGCUAGGAGCAAGGAACAACCUCCAUCUACUGGCUAGAUCAUUGCGUCUCUUCUCCAUUCAAAACCCAUCCCUCAUCACUCAUUAAGGAGGGUACAAUUUUGGAAGAAGCUUCUAAGGUCUCAAGAUUACCGGGAGCUACAAGCACAUUGGAGGUUUGGGGAGUUUUAAUCCGAUGCCGGUAACGCUUAAAACACCCAGCGCUUGUGUCCCUCGCACCGCCAGCCCCGCGCAGCCUGGCAGGGGAGCAGAGGGGCUGGUGCCCGAGUCUGGCUGCCAUGCACCGCCUUUAACAUGUCCCUAGCACAGCGAUCCCAAAGUUGCUUUACGGAACACUCGAGAGGACUCAAGGGAGAAGAAAGAUG
Long non-coding RNA from Passer montanus (Eurasian tree sparrow), 575 nucleotides. RefSeq lists it as uncharacterized. The transcript is spliced from 3 exons. NCBI's taxonomy places the organism in Eukaryota, Metazoa, Chordata, Aves, Passeriformes, Passeridae. The record is from RefSeq and is a predicted model, not a curated record.